CUGCAGGCAGAGCCAUUGGAUGGCAGUGUGCCCCAAAUAAUGGGCAGCUACAAUCAUUGCAAAGUUCCAGUGAUGUAGCUCCAGCAGCAAUUGUGUAGCGAUGUCAUAAAAGAAAAGCCUGAGCUAAUCCAGAAAUGGACCCGAGGAUCCCCGAGUAUGGGGUAUCUCUGGAUGAAACUCAGGGGAGUCUAUAAAUUUUAAGUGGGGACAAAAAAAUCUUCACUUUGAUUAACCGGUAGCAGAAAUGCAGCAUUUUGUUCCAUAAGAGACACAGCCAUCAGACCAACGGAUUGUUCAUCACAUCUGUGACUUUGUCAGCUCAGGAAAUCGUGGGUAUUUUUAGACGAUAUUUCAUAACCUCAACUUGACAUUGUAUAUGUCCCUCACUGCCUCAAAACUACAAUAGUCAUUAGGACAACUGGCUAACUUGCUAUAUAAUGUAAUUGAGAGGUAUGUAUCCUAUGCCACUUAUUAAAGAAAAUCUAAGAACACAUUGUAUAGGCCUCUAAUGGCAUAAUUCAGAGGGACAUAUGCUCCUCCCCCACCACAGGGAGAAUGCUAUCGUAGAAAUUGUACUACCAUGUUUUCUUUGCAGGCUGAUAAUUUGCAUAUUUCUCAGGGUCUGUUCAAACAUGCCACCAGUGUGGCCAGCUGAUGGCAGUGACAGAGUUGUGCUAACCUGCUCCACCUUCCUCUCCCGAAGAAGCUGCUGGAAGAUUUUAAACUGCAGUUUUGUUUUCUGGCUCCUGCGCAGGUAAUAUUCUCUCUUUCUUAUUUGCCAUCCCCAUGGUUCCAACUUUAUAUUG
Molecule: long non-coding RNA, 806 nt
Filed under: Cricetulus griseus (Chinese hamster)
Lineage: Eukaryota; Metazoa; Chordata; Mammalia; Rodentia; Cricetidae
Description: lncRNA (ENSCGRG00000025056.1)
Source: RNAcentral